This 487-nucleotide ribosomal RNA is filed under the name uncultured bacterium. Its description in RNAcentral is "bacterial SSU rRNA". It matches the Rfam family "Bacterial small subunit ribosomal RNA", at positions 501 to 987 of the family's 1533-position model. The record is from RNAcentral.
CUACGUGCCAGCAGCCGCGGUAAUACGUAGGGUGCGAGCGUUAAUCGGAAUUACUGGGCGUAAAGCGAGCGCAGACGGUUACUUAAGCAGGAUGUGAAAUCCCCGGGCUCAACCUGGGAACUGCGUUCUGAACUGGGUGACUAGAGUGUGUCAGAGGGAGGUAGAAUUCCACGUGUAGCAGUGAAAUGCGUAGAGAUGUGGAGGAAUACCGAUGGCGAAGGCAGCCUCCUGGGAUAACACUGACGUUCAUGCCCGAAAGCGUGGGUAGCAAACAGGAUUAGAUACCCUGGUAGUCCACGCCCUAAACGAUGUCAAUUAGCUGUUGGGCAACUUGAUUGCUUAGUAGCGUAGCUAACGCGUGAAAUUGACCGCCUGGGGAGUACGGUCGCAAGAUUAAAACUCAAAGGAAUUGACGGGGACCCGCACAAGCGGUGGAUGAUGUGGAUUAAUUCGAUGCAACGCGAAGAACCUUACCUGGUCUUGACAU